CAGCCGCCGCGGUAAUACGAAGGGGGCUAGCGUUGUUCGGAAUUACUGGGCGUAAAGCGCACGUAGGCGGAUUGUUAAGUUAGGGGUGAAAUCCCAGGGCUCAACCCUGGAACCGCCUUUAAUACUGGCAAUCUCGAGUCCGAGAGAGGUGAGUGGAAUUCCGAGUGUAGAGGUGAAAUUCGUAGAUAUUCGGAGGAACACCAGUGGCGAAGGCGGCUCACUGGCUCGGUACUGACGCUGAGGUGCGAAAGCGUGGGGAGCAAACAGGAUUAGAUACCCCAGUAGUCCCUGUCUCUUAUAC
RNAcentral lists this ribosomal RNA (301 nucleotides) under uncultured bacterium. Its description in RNAcentral is "partial 16S ribosomal RNA". It matches the Rfam family "Bacterial small subunit ribosomal RNA", at positions 509 to 807 of the family's 1533-position model. The record is from RNAcentral.